CUCGGGCCUGGGACCAUCCCUCAACCCUGAGACUCCAGUUGGCUCCAUGGCCUGAUUGGGCCCCAAAGCCUGUCUCCAGAGACCCUCACAUACACAAGAGACAGGUAACACAAGCACCUGGGAGGCCAGCUGGCCUCCUCCCAUGAGUGCCCUCAUGUUCUCCCUUUUUUGCUAAGAGCUCUCCCAUUUUGGCCCAGGUACCCAGAACUAUCCUGUGCGGAUCAGCAAGACACAGGUCUGUUGCCAAGGCCUGAGGGUGCAGCUCAGGGCUCAGGUCCAUCGACCCCUCCUCUCCUCCUGCUGCCUCCCUUCUUCCCCUCCAUCCAUCUAUAUUCUCUCCCUGAGUCUUCUCUCCUGCUCCACCUGCCCUCCCAGUCUUCGUGGUAACAUGCAGUGCCAAGGAGCUGGGAUGUUUUCAGGAAGGGCAAUGCCUUUGAGUGAAACUCAGGGUCAUCUGUAGCUAGGGAUGAUGCCUCCAAAGCAGAACACGUGCAGCCUCAGAAGCACCUAUUAAUAGUGAAAGGUGAGAAUCAUGAGGGGAAAUAAUAAGGGCUGACGGUCUGCACAAAGAGAAGCAAGGUGGGCUCAGGAAGCGAGCCUUCCGACAUUGCUGAGGUCAGAGGAGAGCAGUCCACCCCCAGCAAGACCUCCCAGCCUGCUGUGAGUGGCCCAUCCUCCCCUCCUCCACCACCAGCAGCAGCAGCAUCUCACUGGCUGAUUUGGACCAGCUGCUCAUUCCCUCAUUAGAAAACACUAACUGGAUUCCACUAAACCAACAUGCAUUGAUUCUUCCUUGACUGAGCAGCUGCGUGUGAAAAGCAUCCCGGGCCUACAAAGCAGGCAAGUCCCUGCUCACUGGAGUUUCCAUCUAGAAGAGAGUCAGACAAGGAAUAAAGAAUUGAUCAUUUCAGAGGUGAUGAGCUCCAGGAAGAAAAUAAAGGAGGGAGAUGUGAAGGAACAGUGGGUCGGGGGGAGAACGAAGCAGAGCCUCCGUGGAGAGCAGCGAUGGACAUGGGGCCAGGUGGCAAGCACUGGAAAACUUCUGGUGGGUUUUAAUCAGGUACGGACAUCAUCCGGGGACUAGCCUCUGCAGUUCCAUCUAAAAAGUCCAAAUUGUACUUUUCAGGUGGAAACACAGAGGUUCAGACAAGGGAAGCCACUCACUCAAACUCGAAGGGCCAAGAAGCAGUGGAGCUGGGAAGCUAACCAGACACCUUGGAUUCCAGGCUGGGAGCGCCUUUCAUUGCCCUUGGGUGCCUCUGGCUAAUGAAUUUUUACCAAGUUUCGGGGCCCUUCAAAUUUCUCUAAAAAGGAUUUAAGUUUAAUCGGUGGUUCAGUUGGCUAUUUUGAAAGUAAAUCAUGGAUGGUGA
Vulpes vulpes (red fox) is the source of this 1370-nucleotide long non-coding RNA. The record is from Ensembl. Lineage: Eukaryota; Metazoa; Chordata; Mammalia; Carnivora; Canidae.